Molecule: transfer RNA, 81 nt
Organism: Colletotrichum salicis
Lineage: Eukaryota; Fungi; Ascomycota; Sordariomycetes; Glomerellales; Glomerellaceae
Rfam family: tRNA
About the family: Transfer RNA (tRNA) molecules are approximately 80 nucleotides in length. Their secondary structure includes four short double-helical elements and three loops (D, anti-codon, and T loops). Further hydrogen bonds mediate the characteristic L-shaped molecular structure. tRNAs have two regions of fundamental functional importance: the anti-codon, which is responsible for specific mRNA codon recognition, and the 3' end, to which the tRNAs corresponding amino acid is attached (by aminoacyl-tRNA synthetases). tRNAs cope with the degeneracy of the genetic code in two manners: having more than one tRNA (with a specific anti-codon) for a particular amino acid; and 'wobble' base-pairing, i.e. permitting non-standard base-pairing at the 3rd anti-codon position.
Source: Rfam
GUCAACGUGCCAGAGUGGUUAAUGGGCAGCCCUGCUAAGGCUGUGGCUUCGGUCGCGCAGGUUCGAAUCCUGUCGUUGACG